CAAGCUUCCUAUUCUGGUGAUAACUGC
This 27-nucleotide non-coding RNA is filed under the name Rattus norvegicus (Norway rat). Lineage: Eukaryota; Metazoa; Chordata; Mammalia; Rodentia; Muridae. The record is from RNAcentral.